This 460-nucleotide ribosomal RNA is filed under the name uncultured bacterium. RNAcentral's name for it is "partial 16S ribosomal RNA". It matches the Rfam family "Bacterial small subunit ribosomal RNA", at positions 338 to 795 of the family's 1533-position model. The record is from RNAcentral.
CCUACGGGUGGCAGCAGUGAGGAAUAUUGGUCAAUGGGCGCGAGCCUGAACCAGCCAAGUAGCGUGAAGGAUGACGGCCCUACGGGUUGUAAACUUCUUUUAUAAAGGCAUAAAGUGAGGCACGUGUGCCUUUAUGUAUGUACUUUAUGAAUAAGGAUCGGCUAACUCCGUGCCAGCAGCCGCGGUAAUACGGAGGAUCCGCGCGUUAUCCGGAUUUAUUGGGUUUAAAGGGAGCGUAGAUGGGUUGUUAAGUCAGUUGUGAAAGUUAGGGGCUCAACCGUAGAAUUGCAGUUGAUACUGGCAGUCUUGAGUACAGUAGAGGUAGGCGGAAUUCGUGGUGUAGCGGUGAAAUGCUUAGAUAUCACGAAGAACUCCGAUUGCGAAGGCAGCCUACUAAACUGCCACUGACACUGAGGCUCGAAAGCGUGGGUAGCAAACAGGAUUAGAUACCCGAGUAGUC